Onychomys torridus (southern grasshopper mouse) is the source of this 542-nucleotide long non-coding RNA. RefSeq lists it as uncharacterized. The record is from RefSeq and is a predicted model, not a curated record. Lineage: Eukaryota; Metazoa; Chordata; Mammalia; Rodentia; Cricetidae. The transcript has 3 exons.
CAGUUGGCUGCGUUUACCUUAGGUAAAUGGAGAAUGUGAGAAGUUAAAAUGUUUUCAAGAUCACCCAACUAGUAGAAAGAGAAACCAGGAUCAGCUAGAUAGCUAAGAAACGCCAAGAAUGAGGAAUCUUAAUCAAAGCUGGCAACUGACCAUCCAUAACGUUGACUAGCUACACUGCGUUGAGUUCGUCAGAGGACCGACCGUAUUGCACACAGGGAAUGUGCUGAGAUCUCAACUGAGCAUCUGAGAUUCAGCAAGACUCCAGCUGCCAUCAACAGAGAAGGCUGGUCUAUGUAUCAUACAGCUGCUUUUUGGCAGGGACAAAGAACAGCUUGCCUGGCUCUUCAAGCUUCUGCUUGGAAACAACCUGCACCAUUUCUGCUCACAGUUCGGACGACCGCAUUUGCACUCCCAGUGAACAGUAAAGUCACCUGCCGUCCUACGUGAGCCAACCUGCUAAGGUCCCCAUUCUAUCAUCUUUAAGACAGUAAUAACAUUGUGGGCAUUGAGGAUGGAGGUAAGACUACAAACUAAUCAAUUCU